AAACAGCUGUGACAAGUGCCCUCCGACUGGAAGGAAGCUUUUCCAGGCCAGAAGUGUCUGUACCUCGAGUGCUUAGCAUGGUGAUGGACACAGAGGCGGUGCUCAGUAAAGGUCAGCUGGGGGCUCUGUUCCACGUUACUCUCACUCUGGACACCAGGCUGACGUGAGAAACACUAACUGGAGUACCGCUGGUUGCUAUGGAGAGAGAAAGAAGUGGGAGAAUUUGUAUUGGCUCUUAAAAUAUCUGCUCCCAUGUCAUUGGUCAAAGCAGGUCCCGUUCCACAUCUAACUUCAAAGAGGAUAUGGAAGUAUACUCCCAUCACGUGUCUGGAAAGAAGGAAACAGGAUGUUUGUGAAGAGCGUGAGAAUACUACACGACUCUUUCAGUUGCAAAUAACAUAAACCAAAUUUUAAUUGGCCGAAGCAGAAAAGGGAAUUUGCUGACUCACGUAAGUGUAGGGAUUGUUUGGCUUCAAACACGGUUGGAUCUAGAUAGUCAAAGAUGUCUUCAGUGCUCCAUCUCUCUUUUGUCUGGUCCUUAUUCUCAGCUAGCGGCCUCCCAAGUCACGACAGAAACAGCCAUCAGAAAGUUUCACAAUUAUUUUCCAUCAACUAUAAAAAGGAGAGUCUCAGGGCAGUGUGGUGGCAUAGUGGCUGAGUUCGCACACUCCGCUUUGGCAGCCCGGGGUUCACUGGUUCGGAUCCUGGGCAUGGACCUACACACUGCUCAUCAAGCCAUGCUGAGGCAGCAUCCCACAUAGAAGAACUAGAAGGACUUACAAGUAGGAUAUACAACUAUGUACUGGGGCUUUGAGGAGAAAAGAAAAAAUUAUUUAUAAAAAAGGGAGAAUCUCUUCCCACUCUGUUCCACAAAAGUACCUGGAAUGAUUUCCAUUGGCCUAGAUUGAGUCACAUGUCCAUUCCUGGUCCACUCUCUCUGACUCUGAUUAGUCUGGCCUGAUUCAGGUGCCCAGGCUUUUGGAGCUGGGAAGUGAGUCAGCCCCACUUGAAAACUGUGGAUGGAUAAUGGGGGAGGGUUGUCUUCUCCAAAUGAAGAGAUGAUUCCAUUACUAGAAGAAGGGACACUGGGCAGGCCAAAACAAAAGAUAUUCAUCGUGUUCUCUCUUCCCUUUUGUGGUGGGUCAGAUGCACCUGUGAUGGAAUCCUGUUGGAAUGUGUGACCCCAGGCUUAUACCUGCUACCACCCUUCAAUUUAUGCUCAAGGAAAGGCUAGGGCUUACUUCUCUGAGCAAGGUGUGGUGGGGAGGAGCUGCUUAGAAGUGGGCUAUGGAAGAGGAAUGAUCAAAGAUAAGUUGAGAUUGGAGCCCAGAGAGUGAGAGAGCAAUAAUGCCACUAACAGAAAUUGAGGGAUGAGAAGGAGAAUCAAUUUUGGAGGGGAGAGUUGAGCUCUACAUCUUGAAUUUGAAAUGACUGGGAUAUGCACGUAGAGCAAUCCACAGGCAUUUGGAGCUGCAGAAGCAUAACUCUGGAUAAAGGGGAGAGCUAGAUAUUGACUUGAAAAUCAUCUGAUGAUAAGAGGUAGGCUAUCCGGAGGCCUGAGACACCUGAGGGAGAAAAGGAAAGAAAAGAAUGUGGUCUUCCUUGGGAAAUAUCCCCAGCUAGUGGGUGAGACAAGGAAGGGGAGCCACCAAAUGUGACUGAAGAAGAUUGGUUAUAAGGAUGAAAAGGAGAUAAAGGGUAGUUUCUACUUCUCAGAGAUGUCCUCAACUUGCCCAGGGAAAGGAUGAAAAACACUUUCCAUGUCAUUUCCUCUGACCUCACUCUCACUUCUGAUUUUCCUUCUUUUGAUCCCGGAUUGUAUCAUUAUAUCUCUGUGAUCUACAAACACCCCUGCACAUCCAUGUAUAUGAUGAUAUGCUUGAUUAUACUUACAUUUGUUUCUGUAUGUCUUUUGAUUGUCAGUUGCCUGAUUCACCUACUACCUGUUGAUCUAUCCCUGUUUUUACUCAAAAGAUUAUUAGAAGAUGAUGCUAAGCGGAAGUCUUAUCAUAUUGAUUAAAAACCUGAGCUUUCUCAGCAGAACUGGGCUCUAAUCUGUGAUGUCACUUACCACUUUUGUGGCAUAUUUUAAAUUACUCAAGCUCUGAGACUUAAUUUCCUAAUCUGUGAAAUGGGGAUAAUGAUAUCCACUUCCUAGAGUCACAGAAAUGACUAAAUGACAUGACUUAAUUGGAGCUCUUAGCAUAGUGCAUGGCACAUAAAAGUAGCUACCAUAUAUUGAGAAUUUAUUUUCAAUAAUAACGGUAAUAAAGCAGAAAAUUUGAAGCCAUGAAAAGCCUUCAUAAUAUUGUUGAUUAAAAAGGCAGACUGUCAAAUAGCAUUUACAAUAUGACCUCAUUUUUACUAAAACACAUGCACACACACACACAUACACACACACAAACACAAACACAGGACUGGAAGGAUAUAUAGCAAAGUGUAGCAGUGAUAGUAUGGGUAGGAUUACAGGUGAUUUUUGUUUUAUUAUAUUUUACUUUGCUCAUCUGCAGUUAGCUGUAUGUUAUUUUGCUUAUCUGUGAUUCCUGUAGUUUGUACAAUACAUAGCCACUCCUUAUGGAAUAAUAAGAAAACAUGUCUCUAUAAAAGACAGAGAAACAGUGAGUGAUUUUUCUGCAAGACCCAGCAAAGCUGAACUCACAAGAUGCCCUGGGGUGGGUAAGGUACCAGCUUAUUUCGUCAGGCUUCAGUUGUCCUAUUUUUCCGUGUGUUUGUUUUUUCACUCUCCCAGGCUGUCUUUGAGGAAUGGAAGUACUGCUCUCAGGGAAAUCCCACCCCACAGACUCUAGGCUCUUCUGGACAUCAAAGAGCCUGGAGCAGUCCAUCCCUUAUCUGGAUGUGGGCACAGAUUGCCACUAAAUUCUUCCCUUCGCAGCUACCCUUGAGGGUCUGUGGUAAUAGAAAGGAGCAGCGCUGUAAUGCACGAGAAAUCUUCUAAGCGACUGAACCCAGAAUGUUACCAUCUGCAUGUACUUCUUAUUUUUUGGAUCAGCAGAUGUACUGCUCCAACAAUUAGGGACAGCUUGCAUCCCACGGUACACAGUGGCUGACAAAUGGGGAAAGCACCUCAGAGGCUGGGACAUGAGGGGAAGGUGGGGGCUAAUUCAUCCAGCAGAUCAAUCAUUUGAAUAAUUAAUAUGUGACUUCCCUAACUCUUAAUAGCUGUAGGAGUUCACACAGACCAAUGGCCUUUAAGUAAUUAGGCUUUGAGAGGGGAAGAUUAGCAUAAACUUAAAUCUCUCUUCACUUCCCACAAGACUGGUACUCACAGUUCUCAAAUACCAAAUACUGGUGACCUGGGAGUCUGGAGGGUGGGAGAAAGGAGUAGGAUGGUUUCCUCAGCUGGUAAAAGAGUUCUGAGUAUUCUGAGUUCGCCUGUGAGGCCACUCCGCACACAUGCUUGGUUUAGUACGUUUCACACUUUCAGAACUCUGUUGUAGCUACACACGUGCACUUGAUCCUGAGACGCGCUGGUACAUCAACAACGGGCUAGGUAGGUUGAGGAAGAAGCUGGGGAUUGGGGUGACCAGGGCUUGGCAAACUGAUGUGGCUGCACAGCGAGUUCCAGGAGGCUCUGAGGAUCCACACCUGAGGAAGUCAGAUCUGGUGGGUGGCAACCAGGCUUCCUGCCAACGUUUGUUGGGCCCAGGUAACAACACAAAUAGAGACUCAUGUACCAUAUGUCUAAAUAAUUAAAGUGUAAAAUCAAGCUAGCAAACGGUUAAAUAAAACACAUCCUCUCUGCUUUAACUAGUUUCAUCACAACAAAGAGAACAUACUUUCAUGACAACAAAAUAAAAAAAAUCCAUAAAGCUGUGGUUUUUAAAUGAGUGAAAGCCAGCAAAACAGCAAAUACGAUUGAAUGUAAUUAUCACUGGAAAUGUAAACUCAGGGAAUAUUAAUUUCAAUUUCCUUGGGUUUUUUCUUUCUGGUGGUUCAUCAAUAUAUAUAUUACUUGUUUCCAUGACUUUUAAAAUCUAAUAUAUUACUUUUAUAAUAAUAAAGAAAAAGAAAUAUACUACUUUUGAUUAUAGUUUGUAAUAUAAUCUAAUUAAAUUGAGUAAGAUUUACUUCUAAAUAUGUUGUGUAUGAGUUCUCUUACUUUAAAACAAAUUAAUAAUCUCAUUUUGCAUUCUCCAUUCUAUAUGGUGAUCAUCUGAUGCAUUUUUAAACCUAUAUUAUGUGUUGAAUAUUUUCGCAUCACAUUUUGAAAUAAUUUCUACGAAACCUAGAAAAUUUCCAUUAUUUUCUGUAAAUUUUGAGCUGUCAUUGCCACAAAAAGCAUCAUGUUUGAUUAAGUAUUGGAGAUAAAUUUUAUUUUAUAAGGACAUCCUACAUCAUAUAAGAACAUCAUUUGUCUCUGUUGAAUACUAUUUUUGUUUGGCCCUUUAUUCAGUCUUUAAAAAAAUUAAUUCUAGUAGUCGUGUAUGCAUUUUUUUUUGUGUGCACAAGUGAUAUUUCACUUUAGUCAAGAACCUAAGUGUUUCCAGGCACAAACACCUUAACUGGCCCAAACUGAUCUUGUGGACUGGUUAUAGAACUCUGUCACAGCAGUAAUAAAAUAUUUGCUACCUAGGAUGUAAAAACAUAUAAAAACUAUUUCUACAAUUUCUUUCUCUAUCUAAAAUAAUUUUGCUGUAAAAUUAAAUACUAAAUUUUCUGCCAUGUUCAGGCAAUGGAAAAUUGUAAUCAUUAAUUUGAAUUGAAUUGCAUUUUGCUGGGAACAUAUUUAUGCUGUCAGAAUGUGACAGCCAUUUUUCAGGAUCUCUAUCCAAUAAGCGUAGUAAAGCUCCAGAGGUUUUUCGGUUUUCACAUUCAAUUGCAGCUCUUAUAAAUGCAAUUUUCUUCAUAUGCUAAUGGACAGGCAAGAAUUGCAUUUGGCUUUCUGAGUUAUGACUUUAUUAUGAAUAAUUCUUUUGUUGUUUUCAUUGUUUUAGUCAAUAAUUAAGUCUGCAUUUAGUGAAGAAGAUGAAGUUGCAGGAAUUUCAUCCGAGGUUUCAAAUUGUGGGUUGGAAGAUAUUUUUGUUCAUUUUCAUUUGAUUAGUAGUGAAAUCUUUAUUAAACAAAGAAUGUGUAAAGUCCUGUCUGCAAACUUUAAGUGGGUCACACUCAAGAGAAGUCUGCCCCUCCCAUUGUUUCCAGUUUUUAGACAUUUAAGAAGACUAUGUUCUAUUUCAUUUUCCUUCAGCCUUUUUCUUCUCUGAGCUCCACUUUUGUAUUUUCUAUCUCUAUGGUGAUCUUGACUUGUACUCAUUUUCAAAAUUAUUUAAAUAAAGCUGAAAUUAAUAUCUAAAUUGUUGGAAAAUUUACAUCUUAUUAAAAUUUUUAUAAAGAACUAUAAUUCUAGCAUUCAAUGUGCAUCUAGUUGAUGAUUCAUAUAAUGUUUAUAUAGUGUUGCAUCAAGACCUGCAUUUAUACAAAUCUGAGUUAUAUGAGUUAUGUAAUGUUACAAAAUAUUCCUUAGCUGUCAUUUGCAACUGUUGCAAACACCAGAACUAUGCACCACUGGGAAAAGAUACCUUGUUAUGCAAGAAUCUACUGCAUUCAUGCCAGCUGAGAUGAAAGAUUUGACAACUUAAUAGAUUUGUCUUUUUUUCUUAAGUGCUUCCUCCUCCUUGCACUCUGAAGCAGUGUCUAGCUCUCUGUUAGCAGCACUGCAACUUAGAAACCUUCAUGCCAUUAGAUUUCAGUCCUUUUUGUUCCAAGGACAUAGGGCGAGAAAUGUUAACAAAGCAAUUUCUUAGGACCUCAACAGUGUAAGUGAUGGGAACAAAUGUUUAGGGUUUAUGGAGUGUGCCGUGCCAGUCCUGAGUGCCAAAUCCCCACUGACGGGCCCCCUUACAUUCCCUCAUACACCUGUUGUGUGUGUGAUAUGUGGGAUCCUCCAAAGCUCAAGGUCUAACCCCCUUUGCCUGGGUUAAGGGCAAUAGUGGCCAAUUUGGUUGUUGUCUUAGGAACUAGUGAGAGAUCUUUGCAGAGUAGGAUCCCUUUGGGAGUGGGGAUCUCCCAGACUAGAGACUGGGAGAAAGGAGCCACCCCAGGGGAGAUUUGGGAGAGAAGGCAGAGGCAGAUAGACCAUGAGGCUAAUGAAGCUUAAGCUUCAAGGUCCCGCCCUUGCACAGAUUGCUCCAAGACCCAAGCCUGAUUUUGUGUUCUUUUCCUUAAAGCUGGCCCCCAGCUCGCAAAACUUAAGGUUGAAAGACUUAAGGUGGGAAGCCAGGGCCCAAGCUAGACAGGUUCAGGGUGAUUCAGGGCAGGUGCCCUUCCAGCAGCGUCCAAGAGUACUCAACAGGAACCAGGGGCACUAGAAGCAGAAGGUCUCCGCCACUCAGCUGGGUCUCACAGUGACAUCAAAAACUGCGGUAGCGAGAUUCAUACAAAUCUCUAGAGCAGUGCUGAUCCGUAGAAAUAUAAUGCAAGUCACAUGUGUAAUUUUAAAUUUCCUAGUGGCUAGGUUUAAACAAGUUAAAAUAAACAGGUGAAAGUAAUUUUAAUAAUGUUUUUUAGGUAACCCAAUGUAUCCAAGACAUUAACCAAGUCCUUAAAAUCUAGUGGGUAUUCUACACUUACAGCACAUCUCAGUUCAGACUAGCCAUGUUUCAAUUGCUCCACAGCCCUAUGUGGCUAGUGGUUACCACAUUGUCAGCACAGCUCUAGAUAACCCCUCAGCCUCUACCGUCCAGACAAUGCUGGCUGGGGCACUGUAUUAGUAUCCUAUUGCUGCUGUAACAAGUUACCUUAAAUUUAGCAGCAUAAGACAACACAGAUUUAUUCUCUUACAGUUUUGGAAGUCAGAAGUCCAAAAUGGGUUUUACUGGGCUAAGAUAUGGGUCAGGCUGCC
Molecule: long non-coding RNA, 6859 nt
Filed under: Equus caballus (horse)
Lineage: Eukaryota; Metazoa; Chordata; Mammalia; Perissodactyla; Equidae
Description: lncRNA (ENSECAG00000059446.1)
Source: RNAcentral